This 119-nucleotide ribosomal RNA is filed under the name Pteropus alecto (black flying fox). The record is from RNAcentral. Lineage: Eukaryota; Metazoa; Chordata; Mammalia; Chiroptera; Pteropodidae.
GUCUAUGGCCAUCCCCUCCUGAACAAGCAUGAACCUGUCUGAUCUUGGAAGCUAAGCAGGGUUGGGCCUGGUUAGUACUUGGAUGGGAGACCACCUAGGCAGACCAAGUGCGGUAGGCA